This 723-nucleotide ribosomal RNA is filed under the name uncultured bacterium. Its description in RNAcentral is "bacterial SSU rRNA". It matches the Rfam family "Bacterial small subunit ribosomal RNA", at positions 8 to 731 of the family's 1533-position model. The record is from RNAcentral.
AGAGUUUGAUCAUGGCUCAGGAUGAACGCUAGCGGGAGGCCUAACACAUGCAAGCCGAGCGGUAGAUUACUUUCGGGUAAUUGAGAGCGGCGUACGGGUGCGGAACACGUGUGCAACCUGCCUUUAUCAGGGGGAUAGCCUUUCGAAAGGAAGAUUAAUACCCCAUAAUAUAUUAUUCGGCAUCGGGUGAUAUUGAAAACUACGGUGGAUAGAGAUGGGCACGCGCAAGAUUAGCUAGUUGGUGAGGUAACGGCUCACCAAGGCGACGAUCUUUAGGGGGCCUGAGAGGGUGAUCCCCCACACUGGUACUGAGACACGGACCAGACUCCUACGGGAGGCAGCAGUGAGGAAUAUUGGACAAUGGGUGGAAGCCUGAUCCAGCCAUCCCGCGUGCAGGAAGACGGCCCUAUGGGUUGUAAACUGCUUUUAUCUGGGGAUAAACCUACUUACGUGUAAGUAGCUGAAGGUACCAGAAGAAUAAGCACCGGCUAACUCCGUGCCAGCAGCCGCGGUAAUACGGAGGGUGCAAGCGUUAUCCGGAUUUAUUGGGUUUAAAGGGUCCGUAGGCGGACUGAUAAGUCAGUGGUGAAAUCCGACAGCUUAACUGUCGAACUGCCAUUGAUACUGUUAGUCUUGAGUAAGGUUGAAGUGGCUGGAAUAAGUAGUGUAGCGGUGAAAUGCAUAGAUAUUACUUAGAACACCAAUUGCGAAGGCAGGUCACUA